Mycena rosella is the source of this 123-nucleotide non-coding RNA. The record is from the annotation of a GenBank genome assembly. NCBI's taxonomy places the organism in Eukaryota, Fungi, Basidiomycota, Agaricomycetes, Agaricales, Mycenaceae.
GGGCACUUGGUGUAGUGGAACACACGCGGAUUUAUAUGUAGAAGCGACCACCGUACGGCGUAAGCACGAGCGGUGAGAACCAGCAUGCGCCACGAGUCGGGAGUUCGAACCUCCCAGCGUCCU